This 342-nucleotide ribosomal RNA is filed under the name Triticum aestivum (bread wheat). RNAcentral describes it as "partial small subunit ribosomal RNA". Lineage: Eukaryota; Viridiplantae; Streptophyta; Magnoliopsida; Poales; Poaceae. The record is from RNAcentral.
AUGGGGGAGGUUGUCGAGGUGGGCAGCCUAGAGGCAUGGACCACCUACAUGGCGGAGGCCAACAGCAACAAGAACCUGGCGGUGAUCUACUUCAGUGCAAAAUGGAGCGCACCAUCCCGCUCCAUUUCUCCAGUCUUCGAUGACCUUGCCAAGAACCACAUAGAUGUGACUUUCCUGAAAGUCGUUGUCGAGGUUGAAGACAAUAUGUCAAUUGCUGAGGAGUUCGGUGUUGAGGCCAUGCCGACCUUCCUGUUUAUGAAGGAAGGAAAGGUCGUGGACCAUCUUGUUGGAGCUUCCGAGUAUUUGCUGGAAGAGAAGAUGAAGCAACACACGGCCGCAUAG